AUUGAACGCUGGCGGCAGGCCUAACACAUGCAAGUCGAACGGUAGCACAGAGAGCUCGCUCUCGGGUGACGAGUGGCGGACGGGUGAGUAAUGUCUGGGAAACUGCCCGAUGGAGGGGGAUAACUACUGGAAACGGUAGCUAAUACCGCAUAACGUCGCAAGACCAAAGUGGGGGACCUUCGGGCCUCACUCCAUCGGAUGUGCCCAGAUGGGAUUAGCUAGUAGGUGGGGUAAUGGCUCACCUAGGCGACGAUCCCUAGCUGGUCUGAGAGGAUGAGCAGCCACACUGGAACUGGGACACGGUCCAGACUCCUACGCGAGGCAGCAGUGGGGAAUAUUGCACAAUGGGCGCAAGCCUGAUGCAGCCAUGCCGCGUGUAUGAAGAAGGCCUUCGGGUUGUAAAGUACUUUCAGCGGGGAGGAAGGCGGUGAAGUUAAUAACUUCACCGAUUGACGUUACCCGCAGAAGAAGCACCGGCUAACUCCGUGCCAGCCGCCGCGGUAA
This 504-nucleotide ribosomal RNA is filed under the name uncultured bacterium. Its description in RNAcentral is "partial 16S ribosomal RNA". It matches the Rfam family "Bacterial small subunit ribosomal RNA", at positions 30 to 523 of the family's 1533-position model. The record is from RNAcentral.